UUGUAAGAAAUGCCAAUAUUUGCCACCAUUGAGUCAACUACCUUCUCUUAAGUGUCUUAUUUUCAGAAAGUUGGAUGCUAUGCAAUACAUAUCAGAUAGUGGCGAUAGCAAUGAGUUUCCUUCUUCUUCAUCGGUACCAGUAGCAUUUUUUCCAUCCCUCAACCUAAUCGACCUUGAAGCUUGCCCUAAUCUUAAAGGGUGGUGGAAGAGAAGAGAUUGUUCUGUGGAGGUCAAAGGUGACAAUGCUCAUUUAUGCUCUUCAUUUCUUCGUCUUUCAACAUUACGCAUCUGGAGUUGUCCUAUGUUGACUUCCAUGCCAAUGUUUCCACAUCUUGAAGAAAAGUUGAUCCUAUGCAAUGCUAGCUUGAAGCCACUGCAACAGACAAUGAAGAUGAAUAUGUCAUCCACUCCUCUCUCAAAAUUGAAGCAUCUAAAACUAAUUUCCAUUACGGAACUAAAAACCCUGCCCGAGGAGUGGCUUCUGUGCCUCACUUCUCUCGAGUCCUUAUUGAUAUGGCACUGCCAUAGAUUAGAGUCUCUCUCCCAAGGUAUACGACAUCUCACUGCUCUUCAAGACUUGCAACUUGCUUUUUGCAAUGAGCUUGAUGUAGCUAAUGAUGAGAGUGGGACGCAAUGGCAAGGCCUUAAGAGCCUUCUCUCUCUGAGAUUCACGGAUCUUCCUAAAUUGGUGUCUCUCCCGUCAGGGCUUCAACAUGUUACCACUCUACAAAUGCUCAGGAUUUCUUAUUGUGAUAGCUUGACGGCUAUACCAGAGUGGAUCCACAAUUGCACGUCACUUCAAUUUCUUGAAAUUGGUGAAUGCUCCAAUUUGUCAUCUUUGCCUAACGGAAUGCGUAGGCAAACAUCUUCUCGGAGGUUGGAAAUUCGGGGGUGUCCCAAAAUUGCUCACAUCCCAGGGUUAUACUGACGGGGUCUGCUUCAGCAGAGAGUCAUACAUGUUCAGGUACUUCUUGGAUAUUAAAUUUCAGAGCUUCAUCGGUAACAAAACUAUUUGAUGAAGCACAGAAGAAAUAGGGAACAUGGAUGACGCACAGAGAAGGAAGAAUACACACUGCCUGAAUUCUUCAAAGAUAGGACCAUGGAGGAGACAUUUGUAUCCUUUCAGGCAAUCAAGAAUGACCUUAGAGGAAGAUUAAUGUGUUACAAACAAGAUUGGACUGGUGGCUUUAGAGCAGGCUUCAGGAUUUUGGCUCCCACCACAUAUAUCUUUUUUGCUUCAGCAAUACUGGUCAUCUCAUUACAAUCCUUUUAUUAUAUUAGUGAUUUUUCUUGGACUUUUUGAGAAACAAAG
Molecule: non-coding RNA, 1312 nt
Organism: Corylus avellana
Lineage: Eukaryota; Viridiplantae; Streptophyta; Magnoliopsida; Fagales; Betulaceae
Source: RefSeq, a predicted model, not a curated record